This 206-nucleotide long non-coding RNA is filed under the name Coffea arabica (coffee). Its description in RNAcentral is "long non-coding RNA (CARA_LNC004251)". The record is from RNAcentral. Lineage: Eukaryota; Viridiplantae; Streptophyta; Magnoliopsida; Gentianales; Rubiaceae.
UCAAGUUUAAAGUGACCAAUUAUCAUCAAGAAGGAAUAACGGGUUUUCAAAAUGUCAUUUUCUAAGAAAUCGGCAAAUUUCAGCUUUGCACGUCAAACUUAGAAAAAUCAGGUCUUGCACUUAGUAGGUCCAAAAUUAGAAAACUUGGUACCAUUGGAAACUACUUCCAGAGUACUAAAAGUUCCUAGAAGACACUUUUCCACGAG